This is a long non-coding RNA of Papio anubis (olive baboon), 5126 nucleotides long. Lineage: Eukaryota; Metazoa; Chordata; Mammalia; Primates; Cercopithecidae. The record is from Ensembl.
GGGAGAAGGAACACUGGCCCUGGAGUUAGGGCUAGAAGCCUGAUGCUCUGUCUGCUAACUUGGGAAGGUCUUUGUCAGAAGAGAAAAUUGAUUCUAAGGGGAGGAGCCCCUGCUUGCUCCUUUAUGUGCCUGGGGUAGAGGAUGCUCAGGCACAGUGAGGAGACCCACUCAGGUUAAACAAACAGCCUGGAAAAGCUGGAGAGACAGGAAAAAUAGCCCAGAAGCCUCCUCCUUCCUCAGAGCCAGGUCCACUGGUUUGUGUCAUCUGUUCCUGGGAGGUGCACACCUUCAGGGAAGGAGCCCUGGACUUGGAGUUAGCAGAUUCUACCAACCCAGCUGGGUGUCCAUAGGCAAGUCACUUAACCCCUAAGUGUCCCUCAUAUACCAAACAACAUUCACGUCAAUUUCUGGAGGGAUGAAUGCCCCAGAACAUAGUGAAGAGUGUGUAAAUCCCACCCCCAAAUACCCUUUUCCCCGAGGACUGCUACCCAGCCCCAGGGUACAGCUCAAUAAAGUCUCCAUAAAACUCAGCUUCUCUGAGUCCAGCUCCAGAAAUUACAGUGAGUUGAUUCAUCACAUUGUUUGAAUUAUGGCAAUAUGAAAAUACAGAAAACCCACAGGGAGUCAGCCUUUUCCCAUAUAUAAAACAGGGUUAUGGUCCCAUAUAAACUUUUAAGAGAGAAUAGUUUAUAUCAUAUGCAUAUGACUGAAAAUAUAAAAGGAAAGAGCAAGAAAAGAAAAAGGUACACAUUGGCAAACAAUGUAAUUCAGGCCGACACCCUGGCUUGGGACUCCCCCUUGCCCUUCUCUUGAUCUUCAUUUCUCAUCUCCAUAACAUCCCCCAUUGGUUCCCUGGCAGCAGUAGGCCGGGGCUUUUCUGUGGCUUCAGAGUCCUGUUGCCUCCGAAGGAUCCCUGAGUUCAUCCACUCUUCCCCAUCUCCACUGUCACAGCCCACACCCGGACACCAGCAUUCCUGACUUGGACCAUGGACCACCUUGCAAUGAAUUGCACUAUGUCCACUGAGGCUGCAGCGAGGAGGAUAAAUGCGGGUGGACCUCCACAGGAACAAAUCAGAUCCAUGUCAGGUGGCACCAAACCUAAAUCUGCUUCUGCCUCAGCAGACAGGACACGUAGCUGUGGCUGCUGUGACUUCUGUGGCACUUGGGAUGGAAAAACGUGGGAUGCAAACCUAUUCUAGCAAUGCCUAGAGAUGCAGGGGAUAGAAAUUUCUGUCGACCGGGCGUGGUGACUCAAGCCUGUAAUCCCGGCACUUUGGGAGGACGAGAUGGGCGGAUCACGAGGUCAGGAAAUGGAGACCAUCCUGGCUAACACCGUGAAACCCUGUCUCUACUAAAAAAAAAAAAUACAAAAAACUAACCGGGCCAGGUGGCGGGCGCCUGUAGUCCCAGCUACUCGGGAGGCUGAGGCAGGAGAAUGGCGUAAACCCGGGAGGCUGGAGUGCAGUGGCCCGAUCUCAGCUCACUGCAAGCUCAGCCUGGGCGACAGAGCAAGACUCCAUCUCAAAAAAAAAAAAAAAAGAAAUUUCUUCUGUCUUAAUGUACUAGAUAAAAUUUAUAUUUGUUGAAACAAUUAGCUACUCCUUGACCAACAAGGCAAGAGCUCCACUAUAUGGCAUCACUCAUGUAGAUUGUGAACAAGAAAGCAUGGUUUGAUCUGACCACCUCAAAACAUUAUUUUUGUUUCCUAUUUGAAACUCAGAAUUUGCAAAUAGAGUCUUUGCAGAUGUAGUUGUUUAGGUUAGGAUGAGGUCAUACUAGAUUAGGAUGGGCCCUAACUAUGGUGUCCUUACAGGAAAACUAGGUGAAGAAAGACACAGAAGAGAAGGCCAUGUGAAGAGGGAGGCAGAGAUUGGAGGUAUACUGUCACAAGCCAAGGUGCACCUGGGGCCAUCGGGAGCCAGGAGAGGCAAGGAAGAAUUUUCCCCUAGAGGCUUGGGAGGGAGUAAAGCCCUGACAGUACCCUAAUUUAGCACAUCUAGCCUCUGGAACUGUGAGAGAAUAUAUUUCUGUUGCUUUAAGCCACAUAAGUUUGUGGUGAUUUGUUAUGGCAAACCUAGGAAGCUAGUAUACUUGGUAGCUGGUAUACUUUGGGUGAGACUGGAGCAGGUACUGCUAGUGGUCAGAAUUUUAAGAGAGGCAAGCAGAGAAACCCCUGUCUCCAUUGUCUCAUGACUUUGUUGCAACACAAACAUUCUUAGUGCUUUCAUUAUACACAAAUUGCCUGCACAGCAAGGGGAUGGAGAAAGCAGUUAGACACCGUCCUGGCCUCGUGGAGCUUAUGCUCAGGCAGAGAGAUGGCAGGAUAAAAAGACAGCUGCUUCGCAAGGGAGAAAAAGCAGAGCAGGGACCCAGCCUACGUUUCCCACAGGGAUUGCUGGAGUGGGGCGGGUAAGGGGGCAUGAGUGGUUUGAGACUGAGCUGGCAACAAACUGGAGAAAGGCCUGAGUGCAGGGGGUACGGGAGAGAGCGAGGGAGGAGAUGGACUUAAUCCAUUUUCCAAGAGGAUGAAACUGGGAGGAGAGUGGAAAGUGUUUCAAGGUGAUUUUUCCAAAGGAUUUCCAGAUGGGGUGCUAUUCAGUGACUGGUGGUGUACUUUUGACAAAACCAACAGUGAAACUCUCCAUUAUUACCUAAAGCUUUCAGAGUGAGACCAAUGUUCCUCUGAUGUGGCAUCUUAUAGAUACACGGUCAUGAGACCUGGCUUUAUGCAGGUGACUCAUGGACACAGAUAUUCAUAGUAGAAGGUGGGAUGUGAGCUGGGCAGGAGGCAGGCUGCAAACAAAGCAGCAGUUGAGGCCAGAAAAGGUGAAGGCACAUUCUGUUUCGGAGCUAGUAUUUGCUUCCCUAGGAUUCUCCACAACCUAACGUAGCUACAAUCAAAAGGCAAUUUAUUGCAAAGUAAGUGAUAUGGUUUGGCUGUGUCCCCACCCAUCUUGAAUUGUAGCUCCCAUAAUUCCCAUGUGUUGUGGGAGGAACCUGGUGGAAGAUAAUUGAAUCAUGGGGGCGGUUUCCCUCAUACUGUUCUUGUGGUAGUGAAUAUGUCUUACAAGAUCCGAUGGUUUUAUAAGGGGAAACUCCUUUUACUUGGCUCUCAUUUCCUCUUGCCUGCUGCCAUGUAAGAUGUGCCUUUCACCUUCCACCAAGAUUGUGAGGCUUCCCCAACCACGUGAAACUGUGACUGUAUUAAACCUCUUUUUCAUUAUAAAUUACCUGGUCUUGAAUAUAUCUUUAGCAGCAGUGUGAGAAUGGACUAAUACAGUAAGCAGUUUUCUUUCUAGGGUGAUUGUAACUAUUGAUGCUAACAUUGGUUUCCAACUUCACUUCCCUGGCAAAGCAGGAAACAGCUAGAGUCCACUGGCUUUAGAACAUGCUCUUAGAAUUUUUUCAGUCUCAUCAAAGCUUCAUGGAAAUACUAGCUAAGUUUCUCUUUCCAUUCAGGUGUAACCUCUGAAAGCCCCCUGCAAACUCUUCCUUAAUUAUCCUUUCAACCUUCAGAGUGCAUUUGCCAGGGGAUCUGAAUAGAUCCUUAGUUGCAAAUGUGGUGUGUUAUUUCUAAGACUUGUAUUUUAUAAAGUACAUCAUAAAAUUGUAUCUCAGGGCCCAGGUGGUUAAGGGAAUAUUUCCAAUGUUCUAUUUAUUCAGAAGCAAGGGGGGCUAAUCCUAAAAAAAAAAUUCCUUUACAUAUUGGCCAAGUCCCUGAUAUACAGUUGGACCACGUCAUAAAAGGCUGUUAAAUGGUUAUGGCCAGUGUCAGUGGAUUGAAUCAUCUCCCUAUGCAGAUGAUGAGUCUUUGAGAUUGGGGCUGUUCGCAAACCCAGAUAACUUUAGAAUGCAAACUUGGGCACCUGGGGAAUUGGCUGCAGCCACCUGCUUUUUUGGAAACUAAUGAGGAAAAGGCAUCUGUCAAUUGUGUUCCCUUGGUACGAGCCCCAACUGAUUCUAAAAACAACAUUUAGUUGAAAAUAGGCUCCCAAAUGAUGUCAGAGUUGGGAAGAAAUUGCAUCCCAAGUAUCACUUAUGGCCAACGGUCAAUUUUUAAUUUUUCCUUUGUGUCUCUCUUUUGUCUUUCCCAGGAAGCAUAUUCUCUUCUAGCCAUGGCUCAAAGUCUACAAAACUUGCAUCUUCUACCUUAGUGUGAACUCGCUGAACUCUAGUUGCUUUCACUGCAGGGAAGGGACUUUAGACCCAUCUCUGCUUCUUGAUGGUUUUGUGAACCUGGAUGAGUCACUUUCCUCUCUGUCUUGAUUUUUCCCAAAUGUAGAGUGAAGGUGGGAAAAUCACAGAUUCUCCACAUUCUGAUGGGGAGAAGGUUUUGCUUUCUUCCAGAGAACCAGUGAUUCUGAUCAUCUACAAUGUUUUACUUCUUACUCUAGGUGUUGCUGACGAUUUUAGCAGUGUAGCAUCAUUCCAAAUGUCUUUUAUCUACUAUAUCAGCCAAACUAGAUAUGAUGGGUGAUUUCAUGUGUCACCUUGGACUGGGUGAAAGGAUGCCCAGAUAUCUGGUGUAAACAUUAUUUGUGAGUGUAUCUGUGAAGGUGUUCCUGGAAGAGAUUAGCAUCUGAAUAGGUAGACUGAGUAAAGAAGAUCCACCCUCACCAGUGAAGGUAGGUGUCAUCUAAUCUGUAGCUGGGCAAAAUUGAACAAAAAGGCAGAAGAAGGGUGAAUUUUCUCUCUUUGCUUGGGUUGGUGCAUCCAUCUUCUCCUGCCCACAGAUAUCAGUAGUCCUGGUUCUUGUGCCUUUGGCUUCAGACUGGGAAUUAGAACAUCAGCUCUCCUGGUUUUCAGGACUUCGGACUUAGACUGAAUUACACCAUUAGCAUUCCCGGUUCUUCAGCUUUCAGACAGCAUAUCAUAGAACUUCUUGGCUUCCAUAAUUGUGUGAGGCAAUUUCAAUAAUAAAUCUCCUCUUAUGUGUCUAUAUACAUCCUAUUGGUUCUGUUUCUUCAGAGAAUGCUAACUAAUAUACUAGAUGAUUAAAUGGCCUCUGUGGAGUUACUGCACCAAAUAGCUCCAACAGAGUCAAUCACAUUAUAUUCCAUAUAUAAAUGGCACCCCAGAGUUGUGCAAUGUGGCAGGUAGGGAGGAUGUGGUGGGAAUCACUAUUU